Molecule: ribosomal RNA, 253 nt
Filed under: uncultured bacterium
Lineage: Bacteria
Description: partial 16S ribosomal RNA
Rfam family: Bacterial small subunit ribosomal RNA
Source: RNAcentral
CACGUAGGGGGCAAGCGUUGUCCGGAUUUAUUGGGCGUAAAGAGCUCGUAGGCGGCUCGGUAAGUCAGGUGUCAAAUCCUCAGGCUCAACCUGGGGCACCACCUGAUACUGCUGUGGCUAGAGUCCGGUAGGGGAGCGUGGAAUUCCUGGUGUAGCGGUGAAAUGCGUAGAUAUCGGGAGGAACACCUGUGGCGAAAGCGGCUCACUGGACCACAACUGACGCUGAGGCGCGAAAGCUAGGGGAGCAAACAGG